Biomphalaria glabrata is the source of this 5607-nucleotide long non-coding RNA. RefSeq lists it as uncharacterized. The record is from RefSeq and is a predicted model, not a curated record. The transcript is spliced from 6 exons. NCBI's taxonomy places the organism in Eukaryota, Metazoa, Mollusca, Gastropoda, Planorbidae.
AAUUGCCAUUUUAUCAUUAUUUAUUAAUAGUGCGAAUUGAAAAUACUGAGUGCAAAAUAAAAUAUAUAUAGGUCUGUGUUUAUUGUUUACAUUUCAUCUACUUCCGGACCCGGUGUGUCCUAAAUUUACGAAGAAAUGGUUGAAGACUUCUGACUAGAUCUAGAUCUACAUCUAGAGUUCUAGACAUAGAUCUCUAGAUCUACUCUAGAUAUUAGAAUUAGAUCUAUUCUUAGAAUCUAGUAAGUGCUAAUUAGCCAAAUAUUCCAUUCAAAUCCCUUUCUUUUCACGACAAUGGCUUUACUACCUCCAAGAAUGAAAUCAGCUCAGCCUUGAGUUGGACGACAUGCUUUAACACUUUUCCCCUGGAGAGCCAACGAACGUUGGUGUGAUACAGGAGACAUUAGUAGUCUGAAUCCAUUGCUUCACAAAGCUCUGAGGAAAGUCAGAAUGCAAGCGGUCGAGAUUUGAGGAAGUUUACAACUUCAAUCACUUGAUCCAGAACAGACAUCAAAUAUUUGAAGGCAAGAGCUUCUCUGUGGAUCAUGCAGUGAACAACUAAUACAUUUGGAUUUUCUUGACACACAAGAGUGAAGAAUCCCUUUCUAUUUCCCUGCAUGGAAGGACAGCCAUCGGUGCAAACGCUGACACUGUUUGUCUCCACUGUACUUUGAAUAGCAAAAUGUUUUAGUUCACCACUUAAAAAUAUCUUCGCCUUUGGUCGUAGUUGGUAAGUCUUUGCAAAAUAAGAAUUUGUUGACACAUUUUUCAUCCUUUAUGAACUGAAUAAAAGCUAACAACUGGGCUUUGCACUAAUGUCAGUGGAUUCAUCCACUUGAAGGGACCACAACAGAGACAGUUCAUCGUCAGUCAUUUCGAAGUGUUCGAAGAUUUGAUCUUGUAAAUCUGACAAUAAGUCUUCAAUUCUGCGCAAGAUAGUACUAUUUGACAAAGGAACUUUUUUAACUUUUUCGGCAGCAUCGGGUCCAAGGAUAGUUUCAACAACUAUUGCUAAAGCUGGUGCAAUGACUGAUUCAGCCUCUGUGUGUUCUUUCUUGCAUUUGCUAAUAACUGAACAACCUUAUAAAUUGCAAUUAAUCCCUUUUCUGGAAGCUUUAAGUAGUUCGUAAGUUUCUUAGCUUGUUUAUUUUGUUGAGCCCUGAUUUUUUCGAAGUAUUCCUUCAGUUGCGCUUUUACAGCUGGAUGUUUUGUUUCCAAGUGUCUCUUCAAUUUGCUUGGAACAAGCGCCUCAUUCAACAGAGCUGAAUUGCAGAUCAGACAGAAUGACAAUGGAGAAUCUUCAGGUCCUGAAGAUAUGAAACCAUAUCCGAUGUAAUCUUCUUUGUACCUUUGUUUGGUUCCAUGCUUUUCAUUGAACGCUUUCGCAGUUUCAUUCUUACCAACGUAUUUCUCCAUGGAUAACAAUGAUUAAGGCUUAGUAAUAAUUUGUUAUUAUUAGCAUACACCUACAAAAUUUACAUGAAACACAUCGCUUAUUAUUAUCGUUACCAAUUCAAGAACUGCUGAGCGUCUGCUAAGGCGGCCUACAUUUGAGUCAUUAUAAUAAUAUAUGUAUAGUGGACAACUCCAUAACCUGAAGAGCUAACACCCCUUUCCGUCAUAAUGUAGCGAUCCACUACUAUUACUGGUCGUUGCAAGCUGGGAUGUCGUCACAAGGUAAAAUAAAAAUUUAAUAGUAGGCAAACCUGUGUAACACUGCACGUGUGGCAUUCUGAAAACGCCUCGGCACACCUGCAAAUCUUCGGCGGCACACAGUUUGAGAAACACUGCCCUAGACAAUAAUAAAUAUUGACUAUUCAAUCUGAUUCUACAUUUAUGUCAAACAAUAUUAUGAAUAUAGUAUAGAUGUCUAGAUAUGCUAACUUAAAUAGUUAGAAUAUAGAUCUAGAAUCUAGUCUAGAUUAGUUAUUGGUAGAUCUAGAUCUAAUCUAGGUCUAACAAUAAAAUUGAUUCGGAAUACCUUGAACUCAUCCUUUGUGAUUGUGUAAGCACUUUCAGUAGAACAAGAUUAUAAGUGAAGAGAUCUGGAUAACACAAGGAGGGCAGCAAAUCAUUUUCUUUAUUACGCUGGCUUGCUUUCAAAGUGUGGCGAUUUUAUUGUUUACCAUGGAGUUGUCUACUUUUCAAAUUUUACUGACCAAGUUUUGUACAGUGACUGAUCCAUCUGCAGUUUCCGAAGCAGUAACUGAUAUCUCAAAAAAAUAUCGCUUUGCUGAUGGUGUCUGGUCACCUCAGAGGAUCAACAGGAUUUGUUCAUUGAAAGACACUUGAAGAUUUAGGCAGUUAAAGCAAAAGGACUUCUUGCAAUGUUUGUUUCAAGGACCAGACACAACAGAAUUCCACAACAUAUGUAUCGGAAGCUCAAAAUCAGAAACUGAAAUCUGCCCAUGUGGAGUGUCACCAGAGAAUGUUGACCAUCUCCUCCAAAAUUGCUCUCUUUACCAAGAGGCUGUACAUGACACUGGCCCCAAAACACCCCAAUAGAAAGAAAACUAUUUGGAGAGUUCCCUGAUUUGGAAAUCACUGCAAAAAUAAUCUCAUAUACUGGUCCAGUCAUCUGAAUGCUCCAAUAAAAAAAAUGAGAAGGAAGAAGAAAAAGAUUGUAUGUACCAUUUUUGUUUGUUUGAGGAUGGGGAGAAAAGUGUUCUUAGAAUUCAAACACCAAAAGUAUGUGUCUUUAUGAAUUCAAUGUAAUUGAUACUAGGCUUUUUGAGCUGAAAAUAAAAUGCAGGAAAUUUUAUUGGAAGUGCAGAAAAAAAAAAGAGUUUUUAGCCAAAAUAAACAAUGUAUAGCCUGAGAACAAAUCAGGUGGAAGAACCAAGGGUAAUGCUAGUAUACUAUAGAAGUAGUACCUUUUUUUAUGCUUGCAACUUCAUUGAUGCAUAACAGUGUCACAAACUGUUUGUUAAUGUGAUAUGAAACAUAAUUUUUUUAAUUUUUUUUGUUACACAUAUAAUCACUCUAAAAAAAUUAUUUCUAAAAUAGAUAACUGUCUCUAGUAACCUGCUAGUGGACCAUGACCAACCUUUUUCUAUCUUGCUUUGUAUGAUAUAAACUUUCCUAGUUUUGACUUUAAAUUGUCGCUCUGGUCGUGUCAGUUAUGCUAUAGGCUACUUUUAAUUGCAUAUGUUAGACAAAAAUAGUGAAAACAAGAGAACAUAACAUUUUCUAAAGAAAUUUUUAAUAUUUUGCAUUUUUAGGGAAGCAACAUGGCUAUCGAAAAGCAGAGACCAUACAAACCUCAUUAGAUGAAGAGUUUUAUUUUGUUGGUAAAGUCCUUGGUUUUGAGCCAUCAGAGAAACAUAGAAAGCUCUGUUUUGACAAUAUAUAAAGAGUGACUUUAGCUCAACUCCUCACCAAGCUUUACAGUCUGUGACAUUUUUUUGGUAAAACUUUUAAUCAGAUUUAUGUGUGUAUACUUCAUUAUGUUAACUACUUUUAUCAAGAAUACUCAAUUCAUAAAAAGAAGCUGCUUUAAAGGAUUAAAGAUAACUUUGACCCUUUUGAGAAAACAAAUUUAAACACAAGAUUUUGAAUUAAUUUUGUAAUUCUUUUAUAUUUUUUCUUUCUGAAAGCCACAUAACGACACAAGUAUUUAUUCAAGGUUUUGAAUGUAUGGUAUACUGUUAGGUUUAGUUAUUGAGUCAUUCAGUAAAUUGUUUUUGUUUUGUGGUUUUUUAUAAAUUAAUAAAUGGAAGUUUAUAUAAUGUGUUAUGCUUAUAUGUAUGAUUUUUUUUUACUGAUCUAAAGAAAGAAACUUGAGGAUUUUAAUUUUUAUUCCUUUUUGAAACAUGUAAGGAAUAUUAGAACAUUGGUUGGCAACAUUAUUAGUGUCAAAAUGUAUUUCACUUGGUAGCCAAGAAUGCUUCUAACUGAGAUGACAUCACUACCUGCGGUUAACAAGGGUGCCAUGUUGUCAGCACAAUAACCAACCGCCUUUACUUUUUCCUAACUCAUAUAAUAAUAAUAAUAAUAAUAAUCUUUAUUAUCCUUAAGGAAAUUUGUCUUACAAUUUGUGCAUUACACCAAACAAAAAACAUUAUAACUAUAAGAAACCAAAAUGUACAUUCACACCAGACUCACUCAUAAUUUACAUGUGACAAAGUUUAUGCCAGAUUGUUCUUAUUUAAUGAUUUGAUUGCCAGGGGAACAAAAGAGUGUUUGUGUCUGUUUGUCUUUGCUAUCGGUGCCUUGUAUCUCUUUUGUGAUGGUAAAAUCACAAAAUCCUGACACAAAGGGUGAUUCUUUAUUUCGAGGAUCUUGUUAGCUUUUUUAUAGAUGUUUGUCUCAAACAACUGCCCAAAUGGGGUUUGUUUUUUGCCAAUGAUUUUGCCAGCAGCAUUUAGGAUUCUAUGAAGUUACCCAUUAGAGCUGGGUGGACUCGAAGGCACCAUAAAGAUCCCAAAAAAUACCCGUCUUCACCAGGAUUUGAACCCAGGGUCCUCCUGUUUGGAAGUCAAGUGCUUUACCACUCAGCCACAUGCCUCCGUUAAAGGCUAGAUUUUGUGACAAUUAUUUUUAGGAGAGAGAAUGAUGUAUGCACAAAGUUGUAGCUUUUGUUUUUAUUUUUAUUAAAUUUAUUUGUAUUUAACCACUGACUUAUUCAUCUCUGAAUUGUCCAAUUGAAGUUUGUAAUCAGUUAGUGUUGACCUUGGCUUGAUAGGCUAAAAGGAUGAACAAUAAUAAUAAUAAUAAUUAUAGCUUGUAUGUAGUGCUACUUUCAUGCUUACAGCAUGCUCAGAGUGCUGUGUUCCAAUCUUAUGUGUGAACCAGUAGGGGGGGGGGGAUUUGGGAGAGGGUUUUCCAUGCUGCCUUUGGGUACUCAGUAAACAGAACUCUGCUUGAGUCGUGUGUUGAACCUAGAGUCACCUUGAUAGGUAGCCGAGCCAAGCCAAGUUCAAGCAUACUUAGCCUCUUGACCAUGCCUCCACAUUGAAAUUAAAUUGUAAAUGUUAAAUAUUUUUAAAAAUUUAAUACAGAAUUUGAUAUUUAUGAAAUAUUUAAUACAGAAUUUGAUAUUGAUGAAAAAUUUAAUACAGAAUUUGAUAUUGAUUACAAAAAAUAAUACAGAAUUUGAUAUUGAUACCAUUUCAUUUGUGUGUGUGUGUGUUUCCAAUAAUAUUUCUAUGAAUGUACAAUUUAUUCUCUAGAUAAAGAUUCAUUUUCUGUUUUGUAAGGCAGCUCUCAAUCCUCAGUGUUAUGAACAUAAUGAUAACAGAGUCGAAAACCAUGCCAGUUUAGUCUGGCUUUAAUACACUGAAUGAAUACACAACACACAUUUUGUGAACACAUUCUUACGGACGAGUUACAAUCACAUGUAAGCAUAAGAACGAAAACCGAUACAGCAUAUAAUUUUCAUAAGUGAAAUUCUAAACAGACUUCUAAUUCAAAAACAGACUUCAACUUCACAGAACAGACUUCUAUUUCACAGAACAUUCUACUUCACAGAACAGACUUCUAUUUCACAGAACAUUCUACUUCACAGAACAGACUUCUACUUCACAGAACAUUCUACUUCACAGAACAGACUUCUAUUUCACAGAACAUUCUACUUCACAGAACAGACUUCUAUUUCACAGAACAUUCUAC